This 1244-nucleotide ribosomal RNA is filed under the name Lactobacillus acidophilus. Its description in RNAcentral is "bacterial SSU rRNA". It matches the Rfam family "Bacterial small subunit ribosomal RNA", at positions 32 to 1228 of the family's 1533-position model. Lineage: Bacteria; Bacillati; Bacillota; Bacilli; Lactobacillales; Lactobacillaceae. The record is from RNAcentral.
UGCGUUGGGGCGUCCUAUAAUGCAGUCGAGCGAGCAGAACCAGCAGAUUUACUUCGGUAAUGACGCUGGGGACGCGAGCGGCGGAUGGGUGAGUAACACGUGGGGAACCUGCCCCAUAGUCUAGGAUACCACUUGGAAACAGGUGCUAAUACCGGAUAAUAAAGCAGAUCGCAUGAUCAGCUUAUAAAAGGCGGCGUAAGCUGUCGCUAUGGGAUGGCCCCGCGGUGCAUUAGCUAGUUGGUAAGGUAACGGCUUACCAAGGCAAUGAUGCAUAGCCGAGUUGAGAGACUGAACGGCCACAUUGGGACUGAGACACGGCCCAAACUCCUACGGGAGGCAGCAGUAGGGAAUCUUCCACAAUGGACGCAAGUCUGAUGGAGCAACGCCGCGUGAGUGAAGAAGGUUUUCGGAUCGUAAAGCUCUGUUGUUGGUGAAGAAGGAUAGAGGUAGUAACUGGCCUUUAUUUGACGGUAAUCAACCAGAAAGUCACGGCUAACUACGUGCCAGCAGCCGCGGUAAUACGUAGGUGGCAAGCGUUGUCCGGAUUUAUUGGGCGUAAAGCGAGCGCAGGCGGAAGAAUAAGUCUGAUGUGAAAGCCCUCGGCUUAACCGAGGAAUUGCAUCGGAAACUGUUUUUCUUGAGUGCAGAAGAGGAGAGUGGAACUCCAUGUGUAGCGGUGGAAUGCGUAGAUAUAUGGAAGAACACCAGUGGCGAAGGCGGCUCUCUGGUCUGCAACUGACGCUGAGGCUCGAAAGCAUGGGUAGCGAACAGGAUUAGAUACCCUGGUAGUCCAUGCCGUAAACGAUGAGUGCUAAGUGUUGGGAGGUUUCCGCCUCUCAGUGCUGCAGCUAACGCAUUAAGCACUCCGCCUGGGGAGUACGACCGCAAGGUUGAAACUCAAAGGAAUUGACGGGGGCCCGCACAAGCGGUGGAGCAUGUGGUUUAAUUCGAAGCAACGCGAAGAACCUUACCAGGUCUUGACAUCUAGUGCCAUCCUAAGAGAUUAGGAGUUCCCUUCGGGGACGCUAAGACAGGUGGGUGCAUGGCCUGUCGUCAGCUCGUGUCGUGAGAUGUUGGGUUUAAGGUCCCGCAACGAGCGCAAACCCUUAUUAUUAGAUGCCAGGCAUUAAGUUUGGGCACCUCCUAAUGAGACUGCGGUGACAAACCGGCAGAAGUGGGAAUGAACGUCCAGUUCAAUCAUGCCCCAUUAUUGAACCUUGGGGUCUACCACCACCGUGUGUUCU